AUUGAACGCUGGCGGCAUGCCUUACACGUGCAAGUCGAACGGCAGCACGGGUGCUUGCGCCUGGUGGCGAGUGGCGAACGGGUGAGUAAUACAUCGGAACGUACCUUAUCGUGGGGGAUAACGCAGCGAAAGCUGUGCUAAUACCGCAUACGCCCUGAGGGGGAAAGCGGGGGAUCGCAAGACCUCGCGCGAUUAGAGCGGCCGAUGCCUGAUUAGCUUGUUGGUGGGGUAAAAGCCCACCAAGGCGACGAUCAGUAGCUGGUCUGAGAGGACGAUCAGCCACACUGGGACUGAGACACGGCCCAGACUCCUACGGGAGGCAGCAGUGGGGAAUUUUGGACAAUGGGGGCAACCCUGAUCCAGCAAUGCCGCGUGAGUGAAGAAGGCCUUCGGGUUGUAAAGCUCUUUUGUCAGGGAAGAAACACCGGCUCUAACACAGUCCGGGAAUGACGGUACCUGAAGAAUAAGCACCGGCUAACUACGUGCCAGCCGCCGCGGUAA
This 501-nucleotide ribosomal RNA is filed under the name uncultured bacterium. RNAcentral describes it as "partial 16S ribosomal RNA". It matches the Rfam family "Bacterial small subunit ribosomal RNA", at positions 29 to 523 of the family's 1533-position model. The record is from RNAcentral.